Molecule: non-coding RNA, 48 nt
Filed under: Schistosoma margrebowiei
Lineage: Eukaryota; Metazoa; Platyhelminthes; Trematoda; Strigeidida; Schistosomatidae
Source: RNAcentral
AUCCAAAUGACGAGUCCCAAAUAGGAUGAAACGUACGUUAAACUGUAU